UACGUAGGGGGCAAGCGUUGUCCGGAAUCAUUGGGCGUAAAGCGCGUGUAGGCGGCUCGGUAAGUCUGCUGUGAAAGUCCAGGGCUCAACCCUGGGAUGCCGGUGGAUACUGUCGAGCUCGAGUCCGGAAGAGGCGAGUGGAAUUCCUGGUGUAGCGGUGGAAUGCGCAGAUAUCAGGAAGAACACCAACGGCGAAGGCAGCUCGCUGGGACGGAACUGACGCUAAGGCGCGAAAGCGUGGGGAGCGAACAGG
RNAcentral lists this ribosomal RNA (253 nucleotides) under uncultured bacterium. Its description in RNAcentral is "partial 16S ribosomal RNA". It matches the Rfam family "Bacterial small subunit ribosomal RNA", at positions 524 to 776 of the family's 1533-position model. The record is from RNAcentral.